GACGAACGCUGGCGGCGUGCUUAACACAUGCAAGUCGAACGGAAAGGCCCUGCUAUUGUGGGGUGCUCGAGUGGCGAACGGGUGAGUAACACGUGAGUAACCUGCCCUUGACUUUGGGAUAACUUCAGGAAACUGGGGCUAAUAUCGGAUAGGAGCUCCUGCUGCAUGGUGGGGGGUGGAAAGUUUCGGCGGUUGGGGAUGGACUCGCGGCUUAUCAGCUUGUUGGUGGGGUAGUGGCUUACCAAGGCUUUGACGGGUAGCCGGCCUGAGAGGGUGACCGGCCUCAUUGGGACUAAGAGACGGCCCAGACUGCUACGGGAGGCAGCGGUGGGGAAUAUUGUGCAAUGAGCGGAAGCCGGAUGCAGCGACGCUGCGUGCGGGAUGACGGCCUUCGGGGUGUAAACCGCUUUCGCCUGUGACGAAGCGUGAGUGACGGUAAUGGGUAAAGAAGCACCGGCUAACUACGUG
RNAcentral lists this ribosomal RNA (468 nucleotides) under uncultured bacterium. Its description in RNAcentral is "partial 16S ribosomal RNA". It matches the Rfam family "Bacterial small subunit ribosomal RNA", at positions 28 to 507 of the family's 1533-position model. The record is from RNAcentral.